RNAcentral lists this ribosomal RNA (467 nucleotides) under uncultured bacterium. Its description in RNAcentral is "partial 16S ribosomal RNA". It matches the Rfam family "Bacterial small subunit ribosomal RNA", at positions 28 to 507 of the family's 1533-position model. The record is from RNAcentral.
GAUGAACGCUGGCGGCGUGCUUAACACAUGCAAGUCGAACGGAAAGGCCCAAGCUUGCUUGGGUACUCGAGUGGCGAACGGGUGAGUAACACGUGGGUGAUCUGCCCUGCACUUCGGGAUAAGCCUGGGAAACUGGGUCUAAUACCGGAUAGGACCACUUCUUGGAUGUUGUGGUGGAAAGUUUUUUCGGUGUGGGAUGAGCUCGCGGCCUAUCAGCUUGUUGGUGGGGUAAUGGCCUACCAAGGCGUCGACGGGUAGCCGGCCUGAGAGGGUGUACGGCCACAUUGGGACUGAGAUACGGCCCAGACUCCGACGGGAGGCAGCAGUGGGGAAUAUUGCACAAUGGGCGCAAGCCUGAUGCAGCGACGCCGCGUGGGGGAUGACGGCCUUCGGGUUGUAAACUCCUUUCGCUAGGGACGAAGCGUUUUGUGACGGUACCUGGAGAAGAAGCACCGGCUAACCACGUG